UGCCUACGGGGCGCAGCAGUCGGGAAUAUUGCGCAAUGGAGGAAACUCUGACGCAGUGACGCCGCGUGCAGGAAGAAGGUUUUCGGAUUGUAAACUGCUUUCGACAGGGAAGAAAGAAAUGACGGUACCUGUAGAAUAAGCUCCGGCUAACUACGUGCCAGCAGCCGCGGUAAUACGUAGGGAGCAAGCGUUAUCCGGAUUUAUUGGGUGUAAAGGGUGCGUAGACGGGAAUUUAAGUUAGUUGUGAAAUCCCUCGGCUCAACUGAGGAACUGCAACUAAAACUGGAUUUCUUGAGGGCUGGAGG
RNAcentral lists this ribosomal RNA (305 nucleotides) under uncultured bacterium. RNAcentral describes it as "bacterial SSU rRNA". It matches the Rfam family "Bacterial small subunit ribosomal RNA", at positions 335 to 655 of the family's 1533-position model. The record is from RNAcentral.